This 22-nucleotide microRNA is filed under the name Strongyloides ratti. RNAcentral's name for it is "str-miR-8371-5p". Lineage: Eukaryota; Metazoa; Nematoda; Chromadorea; Rhabditida; Strongyloididae. The record is from miRBase by way of RNAcentral.
AGAUGGGUGAGUUUGCCAAAUU